AACGAACGCUGGCGGCAGGCUUAACACAUGCAAGUCGAACGCCCCGCAAGGGGAGUGGCAGACGGGUGAGUAACGCGUGGGAAUCUACCCAUCUCUACGGAAUAACUCAGGGAAACUUGUGCUAAUACCGUAUACGCCCUUCGGGGGAAAGAUUUAUCGGAGAUGGAUGAGCCCGCGUUGGAUAGCUAGUUGGUGGGGUAAAGGCCUACCAAGGCGACGAUCCAUAGCUGGUCUGAGAGGAUGAUCAGCCACAUUGGGACUGAGACACGGCCCAAACUCCUACGGGAGGCAGCAGUGGGGAAUAUUGGACAAUGGGCGCAAGCCUGAUCCAGCCAUGCCGCGUGAGUGAUGAAGGCCCUAGGGUUGUAAAGCUCUUUCACCCGAUGAAGAUAAUGACUGUAGUCGGAGAAGAAGCCCCGCUAAUU
Molecule: ribosomal RNA, 425 nt
Filed under: Aquamicrobium sp. oral taxon B90
Lineage: Bacteria; Pseudomonadati; Pseudomonadota; Alphaproteobacteria; Hyphomicrobiales; Phyllobacteriaceae
Description: bacterial SSU rRNA
Rfam family: Bacterial small subunit ribosomal RNA
Source: RNAcentral